RNAcentral lists this ribosomal RNA (273 nucleotides) under uncultured bacterium. RNAcentral describes it as "partial 16S ribosomal RNA". The record is from RNAcentral.
CUGCUGCCUUCCGUAGGAGUUUGGACCGUGUCUCAGUUCCAAUGUGGGGGACCUUCCUCUCAGAACCCCUACGCAUCGUCGGCUUGGUGGGCCGUUGCCCCACCAACUACCUAAUGCGCCGCAUGCCCAUCCGUGACCGGGGUCGCCCCCUUUGGCCGGCAGGGGAUGUCCCCUCCCGGCAUUAUGUUGUAUUAGGCGGGAUUUCUCCCGGUUAUCCAUCUGUCACGGCCAGGUUGCAUACGUGUUACUUACCCGUGCGCCGGUCGCCGGCGG